GAUGAACGCUGGCGGCGUGCUUAACACAUGCAAGUCGAACGAUGAAGCCCAGCUUGCUGGGUGGAUUAGUGGCGAACGGGUGAGUAACACGUGAGUAACCUGCCCUUAACUCUGGGAUAAGCCUGGGAAACUGGGUCUAAUACCGGAUAGGAGCGUCCACCGCAUGGUGGGUGUUGGAAAGAUUUAUCGGUUUUGGAUGGACUCGCGGCCUAUCAGCUUGUUGGUGAGGUAAUGGCUCACCAAGGCAACGAUGCAUAGCCGACCUGAGAGGGUGAUCGGCCACACUGGAACUGAGACACGGUCCAGACUCCUACGGGAGGCAGCAGUAGGGAAUCUUCCGCAAUGGGCGAAAGCCUGACGGAGCAACGCCGCGUGAGUGAUGAAGGUCUUCGGAUCGUAAAACUCUGUUAUUAGGGAAGAACAUAUGUGUAAGUAACUGUGCACAUCUUGACGGUACCUAAUCAGAAAGCCACGGCUAACUACGUG
This 486-nucleotide ribosomal RNA is filed under the name uncultured bacterium. Its description in RNAcentral is "partial 16S ribosomal RNA". It matches the Rfam family "Bacterial small subunit ribosomal RNA", at positions 28 to 507 of the family's 1533-position model. The record is from RNAcentral.